This is a long non-coding RNA of Pogoniulus pusillus (Red-fronted tinkerbird), 531 nucleotides long. RefSeq lists it as uncharacterized. Lineage: Eukaryota; Metazoa; Chordata; Aves; Piciformes; Lybiidae. The transcript has 3 exons. The record is from RefSeq and is a predicted model, not a curated record.
CUGCUGGAGCAGUGCUGGGCUGGUGGUGUCAGCCAGUUACCGCCACUCUGAGCAGCUCUCGGGCUGAGCAGUGCGUUCGUGUGGAGCUCACAGCUCCCUUCCCACCCAGGGCUUGCCAGCAAAACCUCUCCUCCGAAUGCAACGCGGAAAGCAAGCUAACGAGGAGGAGUCUGUCGAGAGGUUAAGCUGUCUCCGCAGAGGUUACAGAUCCUACCCCAAGGCUGUCAGCAGCCUCCCUUCGUAUCUUUGCACAUGGAAACAUGCAAACACUACAGAGGGAGCUGCCAGACUGGCAUCAUCUCAACACUAAGCCCCCAGCAGUUUGCGUUGCCUGGAACAACUUGAAGCAGUCACAGCAGGAAGAUAAAGAGGAAGAGGAGGAGGCUGCGGUGGCAAACUGUCACCUUGCUACAUGUGGGGGCUGUCUCUGCCCAUCCCUGAUCCGAGCCGUUGUACCACGCCGAAGCUUUGCACAGCAAGCUAUGAAACAUAGCCCUAAGGUUCCAAAAUAAACCCCACCGUAAGAAAGUG